CAGAGAGCGGUCGGGAAGCCAACGCACUUUGCAAGAGCAGUCCGUAAGCCGACAUACGUUACAAUAGCAGUCAGGAGUGCCAACACACCUUGCAAGACCGGUCAGGCCUUUCCUAGGAAAGGCAGUCGGCCCCUCGAUGGUCCUAAACUUUCCAUAGUUUUGUGCAAAAAAGCUCAUGUCAUCUCAUUGGGGAAACGCUCAUGAAAUCGUGAAGCGCGAGGUCUUGCAACCAUCGCGGAGAAAUGGUCGCUCAAGUUACUUGUUCGAUUCGCAUGUCGGCGUUUAUUGCAUGUCCUCUGAGAAGGAACGCAG
Molecule: long non-coding RNA, 312 nt
Filed under: Volvox carteri
Lineage: Eukaryota; Viridiplantae; Chlorophyta; Chlorophyceae; Chlamydomonadales; Volvocaceae
Description: long non-coding RNA (VCAR_LNC000150)
Source: RNAcentral